RNAcentral lists this ribosomal RNA (435 nucleotides) under uncultured bacterium. Its description in RNAcentral is "partial 16S ribosomal RNA". It matches the Rfam family "Bacterial small subunit ribosomal RNA", at positions 29 to 507 of the family's 1533-position model. The record is from RNAcentral.
AGCGAACGCUGGCGGCAGGCUUAACACAUGCAAGUCGAGCGGGCGUAGCAAUACGUCAGCGGCAGACGGGUGAGUAACGCGUGGGAACGUACCUUUUGGUUCGGAACAACACAGGGAAACUUGUGCUAAUACCGGAUAAGCACUUACGGGGAAAGAUUUAUCGCCGAAAGAUCGGCCCGCGUCUGAUUAGCUAGUUGGUGAGGUAACGGCUCACCAAGGCGACGAUCAGUAGCUGGUCUGAGAGGAUGAUCAGCCACAUUGGGACUGAGACACGGCCCAAACUCCGACGGGAGGCAGCAGUGGGGAAUAUUGGACAAUGGGGGCAACCCUGAUCCAGCCAUGCCGCGUGAGUGAUGAAGGCCCUAGGGUUGUAAAGCUCUUUUGUGCGGGAAGAUAAUGACGGUACCGCAAGAAUAAGCCCCGGCUAACUUCGUG